Molecule: long non-coding RNA, 2254 nt
Filed under: Prunus dulcis (almond)
Lineage: Eukaryota; Viridiplantae; Streptophyta; Magnoliopsida; Rosales; Rosaceae
Description: sRNA ncRNA
Source: RNAcentral
AAGCUAUCCAGCCCACAGACCUACGAGUUCCAACCCAUUGACGACUUUGGGUCGAUCCCUGGAUACCGGGUCAGGUUAAAACCCAACAGACUGGUUCUCCGUAUGGGCACAAAGCUGACUUGCUUCUGCUGCGCUUGUUGAAACUCUCACUCUUGAGACUGAUUGAUAGCUCGCACAAGUGAAGAUGAAGGCGUUGAGUUGGUGGCUGAUGCUGGUGGGUUCACUUCGCUUGGUCUCCGUUUGGUUCGGGUUCUUCGACAUUUGGGCUCUCCGUCUCGCUGUCUUCUCUCAAUCCCCCAGUACACUUCUCAACUCACUUCAUUCUUUUGUUUCAACUUUUACGCAAUUUUGAAUCAACUUCUUCGUUUGGAUCCUGUUUGGUUGCUAAGAAAAAAAUUUGGGUUUGUUAUUUCAAACUUGAAGAAUGGAGAAAAACCCAUUUCUAUUUUUGUGGUUUGCUUCACUAAGAUUUACUUAUAAGAGAGCACAUAGUGAUCAAUGUGGGAAUUUGAUAGGAUAUACAGUUGGAAUUCUUGUAUUCUUAAUCUUGUAAGAAAGUCAAUGUGAUUCUAUGGAUUGUGUCCAGAUAUAGAUCCAAAAGAGCUGAACUUGUUUUUUUAUUUCAUCCAUAAGUAAAUUCUCUUUCUUUGCAAAUGCAUAAUAUAAUAGGCUGAUUUCUCCUUCAAUAUGUGCUUGUGGGAUAAAAGCUUUAUAUGGAUGUUCAGAUUAUACGAGAUUUCAGAUAAUAUUAAGUGUUACUAUAUUUGAUGUCAAUGUCACACAGAAGUAUAUAUCUCAUAUUGAGAAAUUACCCUAAAACUUGCUUUUUGUAAUCAAUGGGCAUGCUAUCCUCCUAGGCCCUUACUUAUAUACAACUGUACACUUUGCAUUUAAAUUACAGAACUUGCUUCUCUGAUAUCAUGAGUUGCUUGUAUGAGUAUGGCAUACUCGACCUAAUGCUGCUCAUUGCUGGAUCAACAUUUUAAACUUUCUUUGUGGUUUGUCUUUGCCUUUAAGUCCAUAACAGUGUGCUUCUAAUAUAGAAUGAAGAAUGUAGAAAAUGGAAUUAGUCUAUUAGAUUUUUCUUUUUCUUUUUAAUUUAUACUGUUUUUCUGAUUUUCAUGUUUUGCAUUUGUGAUUCGUAUUUUUAUUUCCAGUGACUGAAGUUCAUGGAAGGACAUUUGGUGUAUGGACUCUUCUUACUUGCACACUCUGCUAUCUUUGUGCUUUUAACCUUCAGAACAAGCCUCUCUACCUAGCUACCUUUCUAUCAUUUGUCUAUGCUCUUGGUCAUUUCUUGACUGAAUACCUAAUAUAUCAUACGAUGGCCAUUGCAAAUCUCUCGACUGUCGGCUUCUUUGCAGGUAUCAAAUCAAUUCACUUGGCUUCAUUUUGAAUCAAUAGAUAUAUUCAUCUUUCUUUUUUAUAUGCUACUUGUUUCAAAGCACUUGAAUGUGGCUGUUGACUUCUAGGCACCAUGGUACAAGAAUAAAUCAUACCGAAACUGAGGCUUCGUGCACUAUUUGGGAGAAAAGAAAAAAAUCUGUCAAUAUGAUGAUGCUUAUCAGAAAAAUGAAAGAAUUAAAUAAUCUAUAAUGAUUAUGAUGAUGCUAGCUUCUUCUGAAGCAAAAUUAUUUUUAAGAGAUAGCAGGACUGGAAUCUCAUAGCAUAAGAUUUGGAGAACUGUGUCUUCACAUGCUAUUGCGGAGUAACCCUGUUUAAUUGGAAUCAAAUAUAUUCAUCUUUCAACUGUUCACAAACGAUUUGUAUGCUAUAACAUCCGAUGACAAAUAAUUCUAAGUUUUUCUUUCUUGUGAAUAGCUUUAUAUAAUCAUGGUGAGCUUAGGAACCAAUAAUAUUUGUAGUAAAAGAAUUCUCUUGUGAUCUUGAUCAGGCACAUCGAUAAUAUGGAUGUUGUUGCAGUGGAAUGCACAUCAACCUCAGCCUUCGUUGAAAUCAGAAUAAAGUGUCUGGUUGGUUCCUGCCUCAGCUUUCUCCACAAUGUUGAUCAAGCCCUUUCUUAAACCGUGAUUUGUUCUCCGUAAUUGUAAUUGUAAUUUUUGACACCUGCUAUUGCUAUUGCACUGAAAUUUGGCGUAAAAUGUAAAAGUCUUUAACUCAACACUGUUGACCACUUAACAUUUUGAGUUGCUGACAAUUUUUGAAAUUAAGGUCCAAAUUAGAGAAACAAAGAUUGUCAAUCCUUCAUCAUGUAACCAUCAAUUCAGUGCAAUAAUUUUUUUUGGUAUAAGGG